UGAUUGUAACCAGCACCAUUAGCAGGCAU
RNAcentral lists this non-coding RNA (29 nucleotides) under Mus musculus (house mouse). Lineage: Eukaryota; Metazoa; Chordata; Mammalia; Rodentia; Muridae. The record is from RNAcentral.